CAACAAAACAGCGACGUUGCGUCUCUACCAUUGGUGGAAAUGUUGUUGUUAUAACGUCAGUCGGCAACUGUUUUCGUAACGCCCACAUAACAAGUGGCUGGAGCUGAGUAUAAAAUGGAGACACCCAAGCGAAUGGGGACAGUCAGUGCGUAGCAACGAAGCAGCCAACAUUAGACAAUGACUUUACUUCAUAUGCUGUAGUUUUUCCGCGAUGUCUUCUUACUUCAGUUUUCUAUGUUUGCGCAGUCCGAAGCCUUUGAGUAAACUAAAUUUCCAUUUGAUGCUGCAAAGAUAGUUUGUGGCAGCUAUCUCAACUAAGAAAAGCUUUACUCUCCUUCAAGACUUCUCUUUAAUAAUCAUCCACAACUGAUAUGUGGCACUAGCAGUUAAUGGUAAUUAAUUUCUAAAAUAAAAUCAAAUGACCAACAAUUUUGCACUCUA
Stomoxys calcitrans (stable fly) is the source of this 441-nucleotide long non-coding RNA. RefSeq lists it as uncharacterized. The record is from RefSeq and is a predicted model, not a curated record. The transcript has 2 exons. Lineage: Eukaryota; Metazoa; Arthropoda; Insecta; Diptera; Muscidae.